RNAcentral lists this ribosomal RNA (253 nucleotides) under uncultured bacterium. RNAcentral describes it as "partial 16S ribosomal RNA". It matches the Rfam family "Bacterial small subunit ribosomal RNA", at positions 524 to 776 of the family's 1533-position model. The record is from RNAcentral.
UACGGAGGGGGCUAGCGUUGUUCGGAAUUACUGGGCGUAAAGCGUACGUAGGCGGCUUUGUAAGUUAGAGGUGAAAGCCCGGGGCUCAACUCCGGAAUUGCCUUUAAGACUGUAUCGCUAGAAUCGUGGAGAGGUGAGUGGAAUUCCGAGUGUAGAGGUGAAAUUCGUAGAUAUUCGGAAGAACGCCAGUGGCGAAGGCGACUCACUGGACACGUAUUGACGCUGAGGUACGAAAGCGUGGGGAGCAAACAGG